UAAAGGUAUUCCGGUAGACGAUGGGGAUGCGUUCCAUUAGAUAGUAGGCGGGGUAACGGCCCACCUAGUCUUCGAUGGAUAGGGGUUCUGAGAGGAAGGUCCCCCACAUUGGAACUGAGACACGGUCCAAACUCCUACGGGAGGCAGCAGUGAGGAAUAUUGGUCAAUGGGCGAGAGCCUGAACCAGCCAAGUAGCGUGAAGGAUGACUGCCCUAUGGGUUGUAAACUUCUUUUAUAAAGGAAUAAAGUCGGGUAUGGAUACCCGUUUGCAUGUACUUUAUGAAUAAGGAUCGGCUAACUCCGUGCCAGCAGCCGCGGUAAUACGGAGGAUCCGAGCGUUAUCCGGAUUUAUUGGGUUUAAAGGGAGCGUAGAUGGAUGUUUAAGUCAGUUGUGAAAGUUUGCGGCUCAACCGUAAAAUUGCAGUUGAUACUGGAUAUCUUGAGUGCAGUUGAGGCAGGCGGAAUUCGUGGCGUAGCGGUGAAAUGCUUAGAUAUCACGAAGAACUCCGAUUGCGAAGGCAGCCUGCUAAGCUGCAACUGACAUUGAGGCUCGAAAGUGUGGGUAUCAAACAGGAUUAGAUACCCUGGUAGUCCACACGGUAAACGAUGAAUACUCGCUGUUUGCGAUAUACGGCAA
This 637-nucleotide ribosomal RNA is filed under the name uncultured bacterium. Its description in RNAcentral is "bacterial SSU rRNA". It matches the Rfam family "Bacterial small subunit ribosomal RNA", at positions 202 to 842 of the family's 1533-position model. The record is from RNAcentral.